CCCACUUUUCCUCCCUUCUCCCUCCCCCUAUUCUCCCUCCUCUACUUUUAUUAGACUUUCUUCGUUCUACAUAUACACAAAGGUGAAAUUCCCUUUGGUACCUUAAUAUCAGCGCUUUAUAGUUUGCAGCAUGUAGAAAUGCAAUUGAUCGUCAUGUCCUGAGCUGCCUUCCCGUCACCCUUCCAUCCUACAACAUGCUGGCCUCUUGUAGCUCUACCAUGAACUACAUCCCCAGCAGUGGUAACUCCUUUUGUGGUAGCACACAGGAACUGAAGGAUGAAGUCUACCCAUUGGCACAGGAGGGCAGAGCAGGUUGCUGGAAGCAAUGGUCACAAGUGCAGCUUGAAAACUAUCACUGAGCUACCUCCCCAGCAGUGGCAACUCCUUCCAUGGCGGGUUCUUGAUAUGUUGGCCAGUCUGACCUCGAAUUUGCUAUCCUCCUGCCUCAAUAGCUAGGAUUACAGAGAGGUGAUGGCUACUAGAUCCUGAAGCUUGAGGCACCUUGGAAAAAGAAGAUGUACAACACCGAAUAAGGGGAUAAGAGGAGCCCCUGUCCCUGACAACAGAUUGGGAUUCCUGAUACUGCCCUGGACCACCUACCUCAGGAUUUUUACUUGAGAAAGAAA
Ictidomys tridecemlineatus (thirteen-lined ground squirrel) is the source of this 626-nucleotide non-coding RNA. Lineage: Eukaryota; Metazoa; Chordata; Mammalia; Rodentia; Sciuridae. The record is from RefSeq and is a predicted model, not a curated record.